GACAGAGGUGCCGAGCGUUAGGCGGAAUCACUGGGCUUAAAGCGUGUGUAGGCGGGCCGUUAAGUGUCUUGUGAAAUCCCCCGGCUCAACCGGGGAAUUGCUGGGCAUACUGGCGGUCUUGAGCAAUCUAGGGGCAGAUGGAACAAGUGGUGGAGCGGUGAAAUGCGUAGAUAUCACUUGGAACGCCAAAGGUGAAGACAGUCUGCUGGGGAUUUGCUGACGCUGAGACGCGAAAGCCAGGGGAGCGAACGGG
This 253-nucleotide ribosomal RNA is filed under the name uncultured bacterium. RNAcentral describes it as "partial 16S ribosomal RNA". It matches the Rfam family "Bacterial small subunit ribosomal RNA", at positions 524 to 776 of the family's 1533-position model. The record is from RNAcentral.